GGGUCGUUAGCUCAGUUGGUAGAGCAGUUGACUUUUAAUCAAUUGGUCGCAGGUUCGAAUCCUGCAUAGAGCAGUUGACUUUUAAUCAAUUGGUCGCAGGUUCGAAUCCUGCACGACCCACCA
RNAcentral lists this transfer RNA (123 nucleotides) under Klebsiella variicola. RNAcentral's name for it is "tRNA-OTHER". It matches the Rfam family "tRNA". Rfam says of the family: Transfer RNA (tRNA) molecules are approximately 80 nucleotides in length. The record is from RNAcentral. Lineage: Bacteria; Pseudomonadati; Pseudomonadota; Gammaproteobacteria; Enterobacterales; Enterobacteriaceae.